This 229-nucleotide ribosomal RNA is filed under the name uncultured bacterium. RNAcentral describes it as "partial 16S ribosomal RNA". It matches the Rfam family "Bacterial small subunit ribosomal RNA", at positions 568 to 796 of the family's 1533-position model. The record is from RNAcentral.
CGCGUAGGCGGCUUAGCAAGUCAUAGGUGAAAUACCAAGGCUUAACCUUGGAACUGCUUGUGAAACUACUAAGCUAGAGGUAAGGUGGAGAAAACGGAAUUCCCCAUGUAGCGGUGAAAUGCGUAGAUAUGGGGAGGAACACCGGUAGUGAAAGCGGUUUUCUAACUUUUACCUGACGCUGAGGCGCGAAAGCGAGGGGAGCAAACAGGAUUAGAUACCCUGGUAGUCC